RNAcentral lists this ribosomal RNA (485 nucleotides) under uncultured eukaryote. RNAcentral's name for it is "bacterial SSU rRNA". It matches the Rfam family "Eukaryotic small subunit ribosomal RNA", at positions 655 to 1044 of the family's 1831-position model. The record is from RNAcentral.
CGGUUGUGAUAACAAUCUUGUACUGUGUACGUUACUCUUUCCUACUGGUUACUCGACUCUGUCCUUUACUGGAUGGAGUAGUGUCGCAAGGCAUCGCUUAGUGUUAUAUUGCUUAUGAAUGUAGUUAUUGGGUAAAACUGGUAGUGAAAUUCAUGGGAUCACAGUAUAGUAUUAAGUGGGGUUCCAGUUCAUUUACUUUGAGUAAAUUAGAGUGUUCAAAGCAGCCUCUUGGGGCAUUGAAUAGAUUAGCAUGGGAUAAUAGAAUAGGACUCUUGUCUUUUUAUUGGUUUAAAGAUUUAGAGUAAUGAUUAAUAGGGGAUAGUUGGGGGCACUUGUAUUCAAUAGUCAGAGGUGAAAUUCUAGGAUUUAUUGAAGACAAACUUCAGCGAAAGCAUUUGCCAAGGAUGUUUUCAUUAAUCAAGAACGAAAGUUAGGGGAUCGAAGACGAUUAGACACCGUCGUAGUCUUAACUAUAAACUAUGCCG